CCCUACGGGGGGCAGCAGUGGGGAAUAUUGCACAAUGGGGGAAACCCUGAUGCAGCGACGCCGCGUGAGUGAAGAAGUAUCUCGGUACGUAAAGCUCUAUCAGCAGGGAAGAAAAAAAGUCUUUGGCUUUGGACGGUACCUGACUAAGAAGCCCCGGCUAACUACGUGCCAGCAGCCGCGGUAAUACGUAGGGGGCAAGCGUUAUCCGGAUUUACUGGGUGUAAAGGGAGCGUAGACGGCAGCGCAAGUCUGGAGUGACAUGCCUGGGCUCAACCCCGGAACUGCUUUGGGAACUGUGCAGCUAG
RNAcentral lists this ribosomal RNA (305 nucleotides) under uncultured bacterium. Its description in RNAcentral is "partial 16S ribosomal RNA". It matches the Rfam family "Bacterial small subunit ribosomal RNA", at positions 337 to 644 of the family's 1533-position model. The record is from RNAcentral.